RNAcentral lists this ribosomal RNA (460 nucleotides) under uncultured bacterium. Its description in RNAcentral is "partial 16S ribosomal RNA". It matches the Rfam family "Bacterial small subunit ribosomal RNA", at positions 338 to 795 of the family's 1533-position model. The record is from RNAcentral.
CCUACGGGAGGCAGCAGUGAGGAAUAUUGGUCAAUGGCCGGAAGGCUGAACCAGCCAUGCCGCGUGAAGGUCAGUGCCCUAUGGGCGUUAAACUUCUUUUGUGCGGGAGCAAUAAUGGUCACGUGUGGCCAGACGAGAGUACCGUACGAAUAAGCAUCGGCCAACUCCGUGCCAGCAGGCGCGGUAAUACGGGGGGUGCAAGCGUUACCCGGAUUUAUUGGGUUUAAAGGGUGCCUAGGGUGGGAGGUAAGUUCACGGUGAAAUGCCCCCGCUCAACGGGGUGAAGUGCAAUUGAUACUGCCUGGCUGGAAUGCGGAUGCCGUGGGAGGAAUGUGUGGUGUAGCGGUGAAAUGCAUAGAUAUCACGCAGAACACCGAUUGCGAAGGCAUCUCACGAAUCCGCGAUUGACGCUGAUGCACGAAAGCGUGGGUAUCAAACAGGAUUAGAUACCCCAGUAGUC